RNAcentral lists this ribosomal RNA (474 nucleotides) under Salmonella enterica subsp. enterica serovar Typhimurium. RNAcentral's name for it is "bacterial LSU rRNA". It matches the Rfam family "Bacterial large subunit ribosomal RNA", at positions 331 to 709 of the family's 2925-position model. Lineage: Bacteria; Pseudomonadati; Pseudomonadota; Gammaproteobacteria; Enterobacterales; Enterobacteriaceae. The record is from RNAcentral.
AGUGGAAGCGUCUGGAAAGGCGCGCGAUACAGGGUGACAGCCCCGUACACAAAAGCGCAUGUGCUGUGAGCUCGAUGAGUAGGGCGGGACACGUGGUAUCCUGUCUGAAUAUGGGGGGACCAUCCUCCAAGGCUAAAUACUCCUGACUGACCGAUAGUGAACCAGUACCGUGAGGGAAAGGCGAAAAGAACCCCGGGAGGGGAGUGAAAAAGAACCUGAAACCGUGUACGUACAAGCAGUGGGAGCCCCACCACCAAAGCAUUCUCUGGUGUUGAAGGCCCUGCAAAGCAGCAUCGCGGUGGCGGAGCGUCGUUUGCGACGCCCAACACACAAAACAAGCGGUGAAUGCUUUGUGGUGGGGUGACUGCGUACCUUUUGUAUAAUGGGUCAGCGACUUAUAUUCUGUAGCAAGGUUAACCGAAUAGGGGAGCCGGAGGGAAACCGAGUCUUAAUUGGGCGUUAAGUUGCAGGGUA